Molecule: long non-coding RNA, 254 nt
Organism: Ipomoea nil (Japanese morning glory)
Lineage: Eukaryota; Viridiplantae; Streptophyta; Magnoliopsida; Solanales; Convolvulaceae
Exons: 2
Source: RefSeq, a predicted model, not a curated record
GUCCGCCAACGAUGGAAUCGACAUCGGUUGAGGUUGUGGAAUUGGUGGAGUACGUCUACGCUCACUAGCUAGAGAUUAGGGCCAAAACAUCAAACACACAAACAAAUUGAUCAUUGUUGCUGCAUAUCGUCUAGUUUUGAUGCUGGGCUGCCUCUGGAUCAAGUUCAGGGGGUUGAAACCGGUGGCGCAGAUGGAGAAGACACGCUUCAAGAACAAAGAGGAAAUGAAGAAAAGAAAAUAGGAAAAAAAAAAAA